RNAcentral lists this ribosomal RNA (755 nucleotides) under uncultured bacterium. RNAcentral describes it as "bacterial SSU rRNA". It matches the Rfam family "Bacterial small subunit ribosomal RNA", at positions 8 to 758 of the family's 1533-position model. The record is from RNAcentral.
AGAGUUUGAUCAUGGCUCAGAUUGAACGCUGGCGGCAUGCCUUACACAUGCAAGUCGAACGGCAGCACGGGAGCAAUCCUGGUGGCGAGUGGCGAACGGGUGAGUAAUAUAUCGGAACGUGCCCAGUCGUGGGGGAUAACGCAGCGAAAGCUGUGCUAAUACCGCAUACGAUCUACGGAUGAAAGCGGGGGAUCGCAAGACCUCGCGCGAUUGGAGCGGCCGAUAUCAGAUUAGGUUGUUGGUGGGGUAAAAGCCCACCAAGCCGGCGAUCUGUAGCUGGUCUGAGAGGACGACCAGCCACACUGGAACUGAGACACGGUCCAGACUCCUACGGGAGGCAGCAGUGGGGAAUUUUGGACAAUGGGCGCAAGCCUGAUCCAGCAAUGCCGCGUGCAGGAUGAAGGCCUUCGGGUUGUAAACUGCUUUUGUACGGAACGAAACGGUCUGCUCUAAUACAGCGGGCUAAUGACGGUACCGUAAGAAUAAGCACCGGCUAACUACGUGCCAGCAGCCGCGGUAAUACGUAGGGUGCGAGCGUUAAUCGGAAUUACUGGGCGUAAAGCGUGCGCAGGCGGUUAUAUAAGACAGAUGUGAAAUCCCCGGGCUCAACCUGGGACCUGCAUUUGUGACUGUAUAGCUAGAGUGCGGCAGAGGGGGAUGGAAUUCCGCGUGUAGCAGUGAAAUGCGUAGAUAUGCGGAGGAACACCGAUGGCGAAAGCAAUCCCCUGGGCCUGCACUGACGCUCAUGCACGAAA